AGCACCUUGCCGCGACCUCCCCAUGGCUCCUGCGCCCUCUCCUAUCUUUUCCCCUCACACGAAAGCACCACACUGCUGCUGCCGUAUGAUAGAUCUUGGGGCGCUGCUCGAGCCGGGUGCACAUCGCUGGGAGCCAUCACGUGGCCAUCGCACCACGCCAUCACUCCGAGCUUCAUCAAGUAGUCGGGGCGAGUCACCAAAUCGCCCAACACUGGUCCGUGGCUCUCACGAACGAGUUUUGCAUCCGUGGCGGAAGAAAUUUCUCAACGGAGCAACGACACACCGCGGGCCACACAUCUUCGUGGACGGAGCGCGUCGCGACACCAUUGUAGAAGAACCCGUUGCUGAGGAUCCUGGUGAGCAGCAGGUUGAAGUAGCUGAGCAGGAGCUCAUUGAAGG
This 399-nucleotide unclassified non-coding RNA is filed under the name Zea mays. RNAcentral describes it as "misc RNA Zm00001eb405690". The record is from RNAcentral. Lineage: Eukaryota; Viridiplantae; Streptophyta; Magnoliopsida; Poales; Poaceae.